RNAcentral lists this ribosomal RNA (253 nucleotides) under uncultured bacterium. RNAcentral describes it as "partial 16S ribosomal RNA". It matches the Rfam family "Bacterial small subunit ribosomal RNA", at positions 524 to 776 of the family's 1533-position model. The record is from RNAcentral.
UACGGAGGGUGCAAGCGUUAUCCGGAUUCACUGGGUUUAAAGGGUGCGUAGGCGGCUUUUUAAGUCAGUGGUGAAAGACAACAGCUCAACUGUUGCAGUGCCAUUGAUACUGAAGAGCUUGAGUACAGAUGAGGUAGGCGGAAUUUAUGGUGUAGCGGUGAAAUGCAUAGAUACCAUAAACAACACCUAUUGCGAAGGCAGCUUACUAAGCUGUAACUGACGCUGAGGCACGAAAGUGUGGGGAUCAAACAGG